RNAcentral lists this ribosomal RNA (253 nucleotides) under uncultured bacterium. RNAcentral describes it as "partial 16S ribosomal RNA". It matches the Rfam family "Bacterial small subunit ribosomal RNA", at positions 524 to 776 of the family's 1533-position model. The record is from RNAcentral.
UACGUAGGGCGCAAGCGUUGUCCGGAAUUAUUGGGCGUAAAGAGCUCGUAGGCGGUCUGUCGCGUCUGGUGUGAAAAUCCAGGGCUUAACCCUGGACCUGCAUCGGGUACGGGCAGACUAGAGUGCGGUAGGGGAGAUUGGAAUUCCUGGUGUAGCGGUGGAAUGCGCAGAUAUCAGGAGGAACACCAAUGGCGAAGGCAGAUCUCUGGGCCGUAACUGACGCUGAGGAGCGAAAGCAUGGGGAGCGAACAGG